CAGCGAGCGGCGGCGGCGGCGGCGGGAUCAAUGGGGAGAGAAGCGCGCGCGGUGGGGGUGGGGGUGCUCGGCGGCGAGAUGGUGUGGUGGGGGUGCCGCCCUUGCCGUCUCAAGGAAGGCGUGUACGACCGCAUCUUCAUCCGCGGCCAUGAGGAGAGGCACCGGAUCGAAGAGAGUAAGGCCAGGGAAGCGAGGGAGCGCGAGGCUAGGGAUCGUCAGGAGCGUAAGGAGGCGUCAGCAACCCGCCGUCGUGGCCGUCGUGGCCGUCGUAAGCAUUGAGGUUGCAGGCUAAGACUCCAGAUGUGGCCAAGCCGGCAGCGAGAUUUACUGCAGAGGAUAUGAUAGUGUUUGGAAAACAAAAGUAAAUAAUCUUGGUGUUCUACAGUGGUGACAAAACUUGAGAUUUUGUUGGUCUCCCUCGUAUACUAUGAGUAGUAGUGUGGUCCAGUGACUUGUCAUCAAGUUCUUAGAACGUGAACCUUAUCCUACCUGGAAUGGCGGUUGCUUGCUUAUUUGGUAUUGUUGCUUGCUUUUCUGUUGA
Long non-coding RNA from Setaria italica (foxtail millet), 541 nucleotides. RefSeq lists it as uncharacterized. Lineage: Eukaryota; Viridiplantae; Streptophyta; Magnoliopsida; Poales; Poaceae. The transcript is spliced from 2 exons. The record is from RefSeq and is a predicted model, not a curated record.